This 255-nucleotide ribosomal RNA is filed under the name uncultured bacterium. Its description in RNAcentral is "partial 16S ribosomal RNA". It matches the Rfam family "Bacterial small subunit ribosomal RNA", at positions 526 to 779 of the family's 1533-position model. The record is from RNAcentral.
CGUAGGGUGCGAGCGUUGUCCGGAAUUACUGGGCGUAAAGAGCUCGUAGGCGGUUUGUCGCGUCGUCCGUGAAAACUCGGAGCUUAACUCCGAGCUUGCGGGCGAUACGGGCAGACUUGAGUACUACAGGGGAGACUGGAAUUCCUGGUGUAGCGGUGAAAUGCGCAGAUAUCAGGAGGAACACCGGUGGCGAAGGCGGGUCUCUGGGUAGUAACUGACGCUGAGGAGCGAAAAGCAUGGGUAGCGAACAGGAUU